RNAcentral lists this unclassified non-coding RNA (2879 nucleotides) under Hevea brasiliensis (rubber tree). The record is from RNAcentral. Lineage: Eukaryota; Viridiplantae; Streptophyta; Magnoliopsida; Malpighiales; Euphorbiaceae.
GUAAAGAACAUGUCAUUAAUUACUUCUUUUCUCCAAGAAAAAAUUAUGUUCUGCAGCCAUUAAAGUCACAUCCUGCCAAUGCCAAAGACUUGCUGGACUCCUCUUGCAGCUCCACCUUCCUGGAUAUGAUCAGACCACGAUCUUCUUGGCAAUUUGUUCGAUGCAAACACCCACAACAAAGGUGUUGACAGUGUAGGCGAAAUCCUUGAAGAAUUCUGGAAAUGGGUCCAUAAUAGCUAAGUAAAUUCGUAGAGAAGGCAGUGACUGCCGACACAGUUGUAACCCAAAUAGGAAGGAAGAGGAAAAAUCAAUAUGCAAACCGGUUAUCUUCUCAUUGCAUGAAAAUGGAGUUCAAACUCCAAGAAAUUUAUUGCCUUCAAGAAGCACAGCUAACCAUUCAAAAUACUUAAUUGCAUGAUUAACCAUACAAGAUUUAUCAAGCACUACUGGAUAUAAACCAACGGACUUCACCUCUCAUAAAUAGGGGGAUGCUCAAACAAAACCAUUAUCACAAACAAAAAGAAUAUAUCUCGCAGCCCCUUUUAAAAUUUUUAGAACAAAAAAUCAGAGAUUAAAAAUCCUCACCACCAAUGGAGAAUGCAUUGGCCGUUUGAACUUGCCAUGGGGGAUGAUUCUAUGAAUGUUGUAAAGAAUGUUUACAGAAACAACAUUAAUAUACGACUUCAUAAACAAACAAGCCAGCAUCACUUUGCCUGGUCCGAAAGAUUCAAUCAUAAUGGAAUUCAUGUCAUUAUGGAAGCACAUUGCACCCAAAGCUGUAGAAUGGAACUGCAUAAGCAUCAUUCACCCAAAACGGGAGUUCUGUUGCCAAAUUGCGCACCACGAACAGUCAACAAGAUGAAUCAUUAAAAGGUUUGUAAGAGAGUUCCUCCUUAUUGAACUUGUUCCAAGCUUCCUCGAGAAUAUCAAAAACCUUCUCAGCAGUAUAAUUUUGCUCAAGAGUGGCACCUUUCUGCUGAACCUUAUCAGGAUGGACACAUAGUGUUGCCUUCCUAUAAACUUUUUUCACCGAGGCAGAUGUAAUCAAAUCUGUAAGUGAAACUGGCUCCCAUCCACAUUCAGGCCAAAGCACAUGUUGCAAUGAUGAUAACAAUGCGCGCAUGUUGCCUUCUUUCCCUGCAGCCCAGCGCUUCAUCUCGGCAUCCACUUUGUCAGCAAUCCUCACUCGAUCCUGGGUCCUCUGGUGUUGGCCCAAUCUGGCUCUUUGUCUUUCUUCACUUUCCCCUUCAACUUCCUCAAAUUCUCCAAAUGACAAAGGAUCUCCAAAUAUUCAAGAAAAAUCAACUAUAUUUGUUGUAGAAGAACCUUUCCUUAUGCUGGAUGAGACACCAUUAGACUUUCUCUGGGCUACUGCACCCUCUCCUUUGUUGUUUAUCUUUGCAUCAAAUAAAGGAUCCGAAGUUGUAGUCCUUGACUUUGGUACAUUGCUGGAUCGAGAACCCACACCAAAAAAGGAUUCUAGAUCAUCUGCACUCUUUUGGUGAUUCUUCUGUGCAGAAUCUUCAGCUUCUUUAUAUUUACUUGCUUUUGCAGUUUGUCUCUCCCUUGCUCCCCUUGAGCAUAUAUUGACAUUAUUUUGCAUCCUUUGUUACUCUUCAACACUUGUCCUGGUUUUGGAGGGGGCCUUUGUGCAGAGAUGUUUGAUGAACCAAGUCGAUUUGUGCUUCCCGAAAGGUUGAACUUACUGAAUUCUUCCAGUGGGUCUGUAAAUGUCAAUUUUGUUGUGGUUGAAGUUGAUUCUAAUACUACAAAAGGGUCAUCUGUUGAGGUGAAAGCUGAUUUUUUCAUUGCCGUAGUUUCCCCCUUCUUCGAUGAGCUGCUUGAACCAAACCCAGGUAUCAAAUCAUCAAAACCUACAGAUCCAUUCUGGCUAGGGGUCUUCGUUUUUCCACCAAAGGUACCAAACAAGUCAUCAAUCGGUGCAGUUUGCUUUGGCUUUGAACCAAAGGACCCAAAAAUAUCAUCCGUGCUAAUGGAGUUCAAACUGUUUAACCCACUCAAUAUAUCGCCAUCCAAUGACGAUUUAGCAUUCAAGUAAUUAGAAUUUGAGAAGAUGGAAUCGUAAUCGAAAGAAGACCCAGUACCAUUAUCAGUUGUUUGCCUUGAGUUCUUUUGGAAACCACCAAAAAUGUCAAAACCAUAAUCUAAACCACCAAAACUCUGGGGUUUUUGACUGCUAAAAAGAGCUUCAUGAUCAUCGAAAAAAGACCCAUUAAGGGAAUUGGAAUUAUGGGGAGAUUUCGAAGCAUAUGAUGAUGAAUUUUGGUUUGAAGCUGAAUUCGAAGCGAAACUUCGGGUUUGAGCACUGGAAGUGUUAUCGGGUCGUUUCGAAGAGGCCAUCGGAGCCGAUUUGCCUUGCGGUUUUAACCCAAAACUCUCCGUCAAGACACCAAACUCAUCCAUAUUAAGAAACCAAACAAAAGAAGCUAUAUAUUUGAGCUACAAGCCGAAGACUUUAAAAUGAAAGAAGUGUUUACAAGAUAAUUUUCAGAAAAAAAAAAGCCUGCGUUUGAUCUACAAACAGAACAUAACAAUGUACAGAAUCUAAUGAAACUUGAAUGAAUUGAAGCAAAGAAAAGGAGAUCUGAAACAGAGAGUUGUUGACUUCUUUUUUCUCCAAAUAGUUUUGUUUGUUUGAAAUGAAAAUGAGAAGGAAAGUAAAUGGCGGGAAUUGGAUGAUAAAGAAAAAUGAAGAGAGAAUUUUCCGGGAUCGUGUAAGAGAAAAUUUUGAUUUCAACGGAGACUCUGUUCCUCUCGAUGUCUCUCGCUCUCCCUCUCUGUUUGUGCGUGAGAGAGAGGGAAGCGCUGGUGGGUGAUUGCGGAAGCAAAGCCUUUUUAGUGGUGGACCAUAAGUCUUC